GCAAAAUCUCAGCUCAUUGCUGGGGGUUAGUCAUGUCAAUUCCCCACCCAGGGAGCAGAAGAAUGUAUGUCUCCAGGCAAGGGAGUGACAUGACUGGCCUAAGGGAUUGGUCAUCUUGCAGAGCAGGUGAUGCCACUGAAGUAGGAAAAAGUCACCCAAAGAAGACUCUGUGGACUCUCCCCACAUCCAGAAGCAGCUUAGGAAUGCAGGUGCCGUAGGAACCUACGUAGAACAGAAAGUAGCUGAACAUAGCUGCUUGCAUAAAUAGUGCCUGGAUCCUGCUGGAUGAGCAGUUGGUGAAGAAAGGGUCCCGAAAAUUAUCAUCCACCAAAUGCAACUCUCUCCUCAAACCAGAAUCCAUUUUCUCACUUUCGUCGUCGUUGUCGUUGUUCCGGUCAUUGUUGCUGAGCAUCACCUUGUACUGACUGAUGAUUUGUCGUAGAUACUGAAAAAUAUCCCAUUGAUCAGAUUUUACCAACUGUUCAGGCAAGAGAUCAUGAAAGGAGAGACUGGCUGACAAGGGCCUGAUUACUUUGCUUACAAAAGCUUUUUGUAGCUGUCAUUGUCUGGGCUUUGCUCCUGUACUCUGCAGUGUCAAUUUCUUAGAGAGAUUGAGCAGGGCUGCCAGAGGCAUUCUUCUUUGUCAAAUGUUGCACUUAUUAUUGAGUUUGUACCCAGGGAAACAUUUAUCUCUUGUGGCAGCGUUGCUGAGGCCAGAUUUGGUCCUAGUGAAGUUAAAGGAGGUCUUGUUAGAGCAGAAAGGAUAGUGUUGAGUGAAUGAGAGUAAUUAACUUGAAGAUGUGUGAUCAUGGUGUCAGCAUAGUAAAUUGCCACAAGGAUUGAGAGUCAGAGGCCUUCCACAGCUGGAGAUGCUCAGAAUAAGCUCAUUUGAGAUCACUACGCAUUUCUUAGACACACCUUUGGUUGACCUUUCUUCCAGACUCUGUUUUUAAAUAAGAGUCUGGAAUCCCACAAGGAUUCUUUAUUAAUGAGAAGCAAUGGGUGCAUCUGAUUUAUUGGUGAUAUACAGAUUUAAAAAAAAAAAUCACAGUAUCAGUACUUUCUGAUCCAAGACAUAUUAUCAUCAAAACACACACAAUGUAACCAGAGAAAUUGUGGCUAAGAUUGCAUUGUCUCAUGGACUGUUUCUUCCCUUUUCCUAUCUACCUUUACAAUAACCAUGGGACCAGUGCAUCCCUAAAAGAAGAAGCAAAGUCU
Molecule: long non-coding RNA, 1218 nt
Filed under: Vulpes vulpes (red fox)
Lineage: Eukaryota; Metazoa; Chordata; Mammalia; Carnivora; Canidae
Description: lncRNA (ENSVVUG00000016991.1)
Source: RNAcentral